GAAGAACCUCGAGGAGUGAAGAUUCUUAGAUUUUCCAGUCCUAUUUUCUAUGGCAAUGUUGAUGGUUUUAAAAAAUGUAUCAAGUCCACAAAUGGCAUCAUAAGUGAUGCUGGUUCAACAAAUAAUGCUUUUGAGCCUGAUGAAGAUAUUGAAGAUCCGGAGGAACUUGAUAUCCCAACCAAGGAAAUAGAGAUUCAAGUGGAUUGGAACUCUGAGCUUCCAGUCAAAGUGAACGUUCCCAAAGUGCCAAUCCAUAGCCUUGUGCUUGACUGUGGAGCUAUAUCUUUCCUGGACGUUGUUGGAGUGAGGUCACUGCGGGUGAUUGUCAAAGAAUUCCAAAGAAUUGAUGUGAAUGUGUAUUUUGCAUCACUUCAAGAACCAGGUGAAAUCUCAAGAGGGUCAAGAUUCCAUUUUAGAAACGAUCACCCUCAUUCAAGACUGUAAAGAUACCCUUGAAUUAAUAGAAACAGAGCUGACGGAAGAAGAACUUGAUGUCCAGGAUGAGGCUAUGCGUACACUUGCAUCCUGAAAGUGGGCUCGGGAGGUCUCCAUGAGCAAGGAAUACAAGACAAAACUUCCUCACUGCAUUGACUGUU
Molecule: small RNA, 596 nt
Filed under: Pongo abelii (Sumatran orangutan)
Lineage: Eukaryota; Metazoa; Chordata; Mammalia; Primates; Hominidae
Description: processed transcript
Source: RNAcentral